RNAcentral lists this ribosomal RNA (523 nucleotides) under uncultured Burkholderia sp. Its description in RNAcentral is "bacterial SSU rRNA". It matches the Rfam family "Bacterial small subunit ribosomal RNA", at positions 8 to 524 of the family's 1533-position model. The record is from RNAcentral. Lineage: Bacteria; Pseudomonadati; Pseudomonadota; Betaproteobacteria; Burkholderiales; Burkholderiaceae.
AGAGUUUGAUCCUGGCCCAGAUUGAACGCUGGCGGCAUGCCUUACACAUGCAAGUCGAACGGCAGCACGGGUGCUUGCACCUGGUGGCGAGUGGCGAACGGGUGAGUAAUACAUCGGAACAUGUCCUGUAGUGGGGGAUAGCCCGGCGAAAGCCGGAUUAAUACCGCAUACGAUCUACGGAUGAAAGCGGGGGACCUUCGGGCCUCGCGCUAUAGGGUUGGCCGAUGGCUGAUUAGCUAGUUGGUGGGGUAAAGGCCUACCAAGGCGACGAUCAGUAGCUGGUCUGAGAGGACGACCAGCCACACUGGGACUGAGACACGGCCCAGACUCCUACGGGAGGCAGCAGUGGGGAAUUUUGGACAAUGGGGGCAACCCUGAUCCAGCAAUGCCGCGUGUGUGAAGAAGGCCUUCGGGUUGUAAAGCACUUUUGUCCGGGAAGAAAUCCCCUGCCCUAAUACGGCGGGGGGAUGACGGUACCGGAAGAAUAAGCACCGGCUAACUACGUGCCAGCAGCCGCGGUAAA